AUAGGCCUAACACAUGCAAGUCGAACGGCAGCACAGGAGAGCUUGCUCUCUGGGUGGCGAGUGGCGGACGGGUGAGGAAUACAUCGGAAUCUACUCUGUCGUGGGGGAUAACGUAGGGAAACUUACGCUAAUACCGCAUACGACCUACGGGUGAAAGCAGGGGAUCUUCGGACCUUGCGCGAUUGAAUGAGCCGAUGUCGGAUUAGCUAGUUGGCGGGGUAAAGGCCCACCAAGGCGACGAUCCGUAGCUGGUCUGAGAGGAUGAUCAGCCACACUGGAACUGAGACACGGUCCAGACUCCUACGGGAGGCAGCAGUGGGGAAUAUUGGACAAUGGGCGCAAGCCUGAUCCAGCCAUACCGCGUGGGUGAAGAAGGCCUUCGGGUUGUAAAGCCCUUUUGUUGGGAAAGAAAUCCAGCUGGCUAAUACCUGGUUGGGAUGACGGUACCCAAAGAAUAAGCACCGGCUAACUUCGUGCCAGCAGCCGCGGUAAUACGAAGGGUGCAAGCGUUACUCGCGAAUUACUUGGGCGUAAAGCGUGCGUAGGGUGGUCGUUUUAAAGUCCCGGUUGUUGAAAGCCCUUGGGGCUCAAACCUGGGAACUUGCAGUGGGAUCCUGGGC
RNAcentral lists this ribosomal RNA (620 nucleotides) under uncultured bacterium. RNAcentral's name for it is "bacterial SSU rRNA". It matches the Rfam family "Bacterial small subunit ribosomal RNA", at positions 42 to 638 of the family's 1533-position model. The record is from RNAcentral.